AGGAAGAAGAUGAGGAACAAGAGAGUGAUUCUUGGAGACGUACCAAUGAAGUUCUGCAGACGUUGACGGGUGCGUGGAGUCGCCCAGAUCCUCUCCUUGUGGAACCAUCCCCUCAGCAGUGUUCGAUCCGCCCAGCAGCAGCAACGGUCAGGAGAAGGCGGUCAUUGAAGUGUCAAGUCCCCAAGCUGGCAUGGUGGUGGGUGUUGUGCUGGGCUACCUUGGGGUUUUUAUCCUAGUUGUUGGGGAUUCAGUACUACUAACGCCAAAGAAGUGAGGCAAGUUUUUGGAGUGAGCGUGCAUGACAU
Long non-coding RNA from Portunus trituberculatus (swimming crab), 305 nucleotides. RefSeq lists it as uncharacterized. The transcript has 3 exons. NCBI's taxonomy places the organism in Eukaryota, Metazoa, Arthropoda, Malacostraca, Decapoda, Portunidae. The record is from RefSeq and is a predicted model, not a curated record.